RNAcentral lists this non-coding RNA (231 nucleotides) under Eubacterium sp. RNAcentral describes it as "T-box sequence". It matches the Rfam family "T-box leader". Rfam says of the family: Uncharged tRNA acts as the effector for transcription antitermination of genes in the T-box leader family. T-boxes are found upstream of many aminoacyl-tRNA synthetase genes and some amino acid biosynthetic genes usually in Gram-positive bacteria. Lineage: Bacteria; Bacillati; Bacillota; Clostridia; Eubacteriales; Eubacteriaceae. The record is from RNAcentral.
UUAAAAACUGUGAAGGGAAAAAGAUAUUUGUUUUAGAGCGAAGAGAGCUGUUGGUUGGUGUAAAACAGUGUCAAAACUUAUAUGUAUAACUCAUCCCGGAGUUUCUUGUCUUAUAAGGGCAAGACGGCAGACCUCGUUAUUGGUCAGAACUUUGUUGGAAGUUCUUAAGGAGUAUAUGGUGACAUAUGCUUAAACUUGGGUGGUACCACGGAUAAUUUGUUCGUCCCUAUU